RNAcentral lists this ribosomal RNA (468 nucleotides) under uncultured bacterium. RNAcentral describes it as "partial 16S ribosomal RNA". It matches the Rfam family "Bacterial small subunit ribosomal RNA", at positions 28 to 507 of the family's 1533-position model. The record is from RNAcentral.
GACGAACGCUGGCGGCGUGCUUAACACAUGCAAGUCGAACGGAAAGGCCCUGCUUUUGUGGGGUGCUCGAGUGGCGAACGGGUGAGUAACACGUGAGUAACCUUCCCUUGACUUUGGGAUAACUUCAGGAAACUGGGGCUAAUACCGGAUAGUAGCUCCUGCUGCAUGGUGGGGGUUGGAAAGUUUCGGCGGUUGGGGAUGGACUCGCGGCUUAUCAGCUUGUUGGUGGGGUAGUGGCUUACCAAGGCUUUGACGGGUAGCCGGCCUGAGAGGGUGACCGGCAACAUGGGGACUGAGAUACGGCCAAGACUCCUACGGGAGGCAGAAGUGGGGAAUAUUGCAAAAUGGGCGGAAGCCUGAUGCAGCAACGCCGCGUGCGGGAUGACGGCCUUCGGGUUGUAAACCGCUUUCGCCUGUGACGAAGCGUGAGUGACGGUAAUGGGUAAAGAAGCACCGGCUAACUACGUG